Long non-coding RNA from Homo sapiens (human), 1089 nucleotides. RefSeq lists it as uncharacterized. The record is from RefSeq and is a predicted model, not a curated record. NCBI's taxonomy places the organism in Eukaryota, Metazoa, Chordata, Mammalia, Primates, Hominidae. The transcript is spliced from 2 exons.
UACAGGCGUGAGCCACUGCACCUGGCCUUCAGGCUUCCUAAUAUGUCCACAACCUGCUUUUCCCAUCGAAUCUCCCAUUAUUCUUUUAAACAUGCAACUAUGAUUUAUUCUCUGUCAUCCAAACGUUUUGCUUUCAUGACAUUGCUUUCUCGGUUCAUCCUAAAUGGGUUGCUUUGUGGCUGUGCCUACUUCAAACACCAAUUUAAUGCAGUUGGGCCAGGCACGGUGGCUCAUGCCUGUAAUCCCAGCACUUUGGGAGGCCAAGGAGGGCGGAUCACAAGGUCAGGAGUUCGAGACCAGCCUGACCAACAUGUUGAAACUCAGUCUCUACUAAAAAUACAAAAAUUAGCUGGGCAUGGUGGCAGGUGCCUGUAAUCCCAGCUAGUCGGGAGGCUGAGGCAGAAGAAUUGCUUGAACCCGGGAGGCAGAGGUUGCAGUGAGGCCAGAUUGCACCACUGCACUCCAGCCUGGGUUGACAGAGCAAGACUCCGUCUCGAAAAAAAAAAAAAUUAAUUCACUUCUUCCAGAGUGCACUUUUAUGUGCAAUUUAAUGCACUCCCCACCACCAGUAAUGCCCCUUUUCUAAACUCACCCAGUCAUAUAUUGCCCAGUGAUACUGAUUUUUAUUGCAGUUUUACUAUUGAACUCCUGUAUUUUGAUUUCUAUCUUCAGGUGCUUAUGUCUUGUGUAAUGGAUAUAUUUCAUGUACUUCCUCAGAUUUCCUUCACUUUGUUUGCUUUCUGUACCCAUAAUCACUUGCUCUUUUUGGGGCUCACCAGUUGCAUUUCCGGAAUCUCUGGCUUCUCCUGCCACUUCUGAACAAUGCAGGAGCUGACUUCUCAGAGGCUGCUAGGGCCUCGGAUGGUUUCUCCAGUGUGUCUGGAGACAGGCAAGACUGAGGGAGUGUGCCUGCUGAAAAAGCUGCUGUGUCUCUUGUGGCUCAUUUUCAAGGAGGGGACAGCAAGGUAACACAUCACCAUGUAUUACUUCACAUCCUUCUCUACCUAACUUCCUUCCAGCUUUCUUCACUCUGGCUGUCCUGAAUUUGUACCUCCCAAAUAAAGCAUCGGCACUUAAUCUUUACCUCGA